RNAcentral lists this long non-coding RNA (354 nucleotides) under Mytilus galloprovincialis (Mediterranean mussel). Lineage: Eukaryota; Metazoa; Mollusca; Bivalvia; Mytilida; Mytilidae. The record is from RNAcentral.
CAAUUUAUAAAUUUUGUUGGCUGUUAUUAUAAAUGUCAGUUAAAGAGAAAAAUUUUUAACAGUUAAAAAAGUAGAGAUAUUCUAGUAUGGUUCAGACUGGUCGAGUAUUGUUCAGACCUUUGGUUAAGUAUGGUUUAGACUGGAAAAACUAGCGAGUACGAUCAGAAUGGAUUAAGACUGUUCCAGACUGGUCGAGUUAUAGUUCAGACUAUUUUCAACGGCAAAGAUAAGGGUCAAGUACGAUUCAGUACAGUCGAGUACGGUUCAGACUGGGGUCGAGUAUGUCAAGUUUAAGUCAGACCAAUUCAGACUGGUCGAGUAAAAAUCAGUACAGUCGAGCACAGAUAUAGGCCA